This 384-nucleotide ribosomal RNA is filed under the name uncultured bacterium. RNAcentral describes it as "bacterial SSU rRNA". It matches the Rfam family "Bacterial small subunit ribosomal RNA", at positions 108 to 507 of the family's 1533-position model. The record is from RNAcentral.
GAGUAACACGUGGGUGACCUGCCCUCAGCUCUGGGAUAAGCCUGGGAAACUGGGUCUAAUACCGGAUAUGACUUCACAUCGCAUGGUGUGUUGUGGAAAGUUUUUCGGCUGGGGAUGGGCCCGCGGCCUAUCAGCUUGUUGGUGGGGUGAUGGCCUACCAAGGCGACGACGGGUAGCCGGCCUGAGAGGGCGACCGGCCACACUGGGACUGAGACACGGCCCAGACUCCUACGGGAGGCAGCAGUGGGGAAUAUUGCGCAAUGGGCGGAAGCCUGACGCAGCGACGCCGCGUGGGGGAUGACGGCCUUCGGGUUGUAAACCUCUUUCGCCAGGGACGAAGAGAAAUUGACGGUACCUGGAUAAGAAGCACCGGCCAACUACGUG